CUACGGGACGCAUCAGUCGAGAAUCAUUCGCAAUGCGCGAAAGCGUGACGAUGCGACGCCGCGUGUAGGAUGACGGCCUUCGGGUUGUAAACUACUGUCAUGGGGAAACAACCGCCCGGGUGUUAAUAACAUCUGGGUCUGAUAGUACCCCAAGAGGAAGCCACGGCUAACUCUGUGCCAGCAGCCGCGGUAAUACAGAGGUGGCGAGCGUUGUUCGGAUUUACUGGGCGUAAAGGGUGCGUAGGCUGUUUUGUGUGUCAGAUGUGAAAUCUCACUUUUCAUGAGUGAAAUUGCAUUUGAAACUGCAGAACUAGAGUACAGGAGAGGAGAGCGGAAUUCAUGGUGUAGCGGUGAAAUGCGUAGAUAUCAUGAGGAACAUCGGCGGCGAAGGCGGCUCUCUGGAAUGAUACUGACGCUGAGGCACGAAAGCUGGGGGAGCAAACAGGAUUAGAUACCCUCGUAGUC
This 465-nucleotide ribosomal RNA is filed under the name uncultured bacterium. Its description in RNAcentral is "partial 16S ribosomal RNA". It matches the Rfam family "Bacterial small subunit ribosomal RNA", at positions 339 to 795 of the family's 1533-position model. The record is from RNAcentral.